CCUACGGGCGGCAGCAGUGAGGAAUAUUGGUCAAUGGGCGUAAGCCUGAACCAGCCAAGUCGCGUGAGGGAUGAAGGUUCUAUGGAUCGUAAACCUCUUUUAUAAGGGAAUAAAGUGUGGGACGUGUCCUGUUUUGUAUGUACCUUAUGAAUAAGGAUCGGCUAACUCCGUGCCAGCAGCCGCGGUAAUACGGAGGAUCCGAGCGUUAUCCGGAUUUAUUGGGGUUAAAGGGUGCGUAGGCGGCCUUUUAAGUCAGCGGUGAAAGUCUGUGGCUCAACCAGAGAAUUGCCGUUGAAACUGGGAGGCUUGAGUAUGUUUGAGGCAGGCGGAAGGCGUGGUGUAGCGGUGAAAUGCUUAGAUAUCACGCAGAACCCCGAUGGCGAAGGCAGCCUGCCAAGCCAUGACUGACGCUGAGGCACGAAAGCGUGGGGAUCAAACAGGAUUAGAUACCCGAGUAGUC
Molecule: ribosomal RNA, 460 nt
Filed under: uncultured bacterium
Lineage: Bacteria
Description: partial 16S ribosomal RNA
Rfam family: Bacterial small subunit ribosomal RNA
Source: RNAcentral